CGAACGGGUGAGUAACGCGUGAGGAACCUGCCUCAAAGAGGGGGACAACAGUUGGAAACGACUGCUAAUACCGCAUAAGCCCACAGGUCGGCAUCGACCAGGGGGAAAAGGAGCAAUCCGCUUUGAGAUGGCCUCGCGUCCGAUUAGCUAGUUGGUGAGGUAAUGGCCCACCAAGGCGACGAUCGGUAGCCGGACUGAGAGGUUGAACGGCCACAUUGGGACUGAGACACGGCCCAG
RNAcentral lists this ribosomal RNA (237 nucleotides) under uncultured bacterium. Its description in RNAcentral is "partial 16S ribosomal RNA". It matches the Rfam family "Bacterial small subunit ribosomal RNA", at positions 99 to 334 of the family's 1533-position model. The record is from RNAcentral.